This is a non-coding RNA of Paramuricea clavata, 452 nucleotides long. The record is from the annotation of a GenBank genome assembly. NCBI's taxonomy places the organism in Eukaryota, Metazoa, Cnidaria, Anthozoa, Malacalcyonacea, Plexauridae.
AUCGUUUCAAAUUAUAGGAUUAACCGAAACAUGGUUGAAUGAUAUAAACAAAGACAAUUUUAAUUUACCAGACUAUAAUUAUAUAGGAUCAAAUAGAGAAAAUAAAAGAGGUGGAGGGGUAGGCAUGUAUGUCUCGAAACAACUGCAAUAUAAAACUCGAAAUGACAUAAGUAUAAACGUAGAAAACGGAAUUGAAACCUCUUUUAUCGAAAUAUGUACAUCUAAAGGUAAGAAUAUAAUUGUAGGAACAAUCUAUAGGCCACCAAAUAAUAAGAUUGACGCACUUGAAAACUCAAUGAAAAGAAUAUUAGAGAAAAUCGAUAAAGAAAAUAAAAUUGGCUAUCUUAUGGGGGACUUUAAUAUUGAUCUACUUAAAUCGGAAUCUUGUGAUUAUGCAGGCCAAUUUACCGAACAACUUUUCACAUCUUAUUAUCCACUCAUAACAAAGCCAA